This 1110-nucleotide ribosomal RNA is filed under the name Triticum aestivum (bread wheat). Its description in RNAcentral is "partial small subunit ribosomal RNA". The record is from RNAcentral. Lineage: Eukaryota; Viridiplantae; Streptophyta; Magnoliopsida; Poales; Poaceae.
CACCCCACCUCACCCCCACUGGACCGCAUCUCCACUUACCUCCGCACCUCCCGGCGCACCUCCUUCCCCUCCUCAAUCCCCUCGCAGGCCCCGGAUCCAGGUGAGGUAGAGGAGCACCGUCGCACCUCCUUCCCCUUCCCCGGGCCUCGCCGACCCUCCCCUCGCCUCGAUCUGCAACGACCUGGACGACCCGCAGUAGGGCACGCCACCCUUCCCCUCCCCUCGAAUUUUUGGGGCGCCAACGACCCAGCGCGGUAUCCCGCGGUCGGGAUUGGGGGUGGAGGCCGCCGCCGAUCCCCUGCUGGAUCUCUUUCCACCAAUAUUCGACGACCUCCCCCUCGAUCUGGCGUCCCAUCGUCAACGCCUCUGUUGUCCCACGUUGCCACCUCGACCGAGCCGCCGUCCACACAUCUGAUUGGUCCUAGUGGACGCCGGCCACCACGGCAUCUGGACGGACCCCCUCCUCUCCUCACUCUUCUCCAUGGACGGUUGCGCACAGUCACCAUCUCCAACGCGCGAUUUCAGCAGAAGGAGCCCGGGGAGUGCCUCUCUCUCACCACUGUGGCGUUCCCGACAAAAGGGCUUGCAGUUUACAGAACAUUUUUUGUGUAUUUUUCCAGAUUAUUGCUGUUGAUUUGAGUGAAUUCAGUUUCUAAUGAAACUUGUUAAUUCUCUCAGUGUAGUUCGGCUGGCGCCGGCAUGAGGUUCACAUCUACAUGGUAGCUUGGACGCCUUGGCGUUGCAUGUCGUCAUUUGUUGUGGUGCCAUGCGGGUGUGUACAGCGUGCAGCUCGGAGCAAGCAGGCAUGCAGUUUGUGGAUUUUUUUGUCUGUCAAAUGUAUCCGGUUGGGAUAUGAUGUAUUGUGUGUAAAAACUAUUUGUUGAGAAGUUUAUUUCAACAAGCAUUAAAUAGUUCAUUUUCGAGAGAAAAAUGUGUUGAUGCAGCCCACUUCGAGGAGUCUUGUGGUUCAUUGCAUUCAACGAGGAGUCUUGAUGUCUCAUGCAGUUUGCUAUAAAACUGAUAGAUGUGGCUUUGAAGCUCACUUUUGUUGUCCCAUGCAGUUUGCUAUAAAACUCUUCGUGGUUCACUUGUCCCACUUGUAAAACGGGG